UGCAGUUCCCGGGUCCCUCGGCCACCGAAGCCACCCUGCCCUGGUGAAAGGGCUCCCGCACCGCCCGGUGCUCCCCAUCUGCCUGGCGUUGUGCGCAGAGCUGGAAAGCAUGGCUGUAUAAAUGAAUUCUGAUUUUGGGGAGCAGAUGCCAACUUAGAGCCUCGUACCAAUCUCUCUGUCUUUAAAAGAUGAGGUGACUUGGUGAUUUUCCUGGAAAAUUAUAGUGCCCAGCUAAGACCUGAAUGCCAUCACCCUCCCCAGGGCUCUGCAGUUUUCUCGUGGUGAACCCUUGAUGGAUUUGUUGUUGCUUGAGAAAUGGCGAUGAUCGAAUUGGGGUUUGGAAGACAGAAUUUUCAUCCAUUAAAGAGGAAGAGUUCAUUGCUGUUGAAACUCAUAGCUGUUGUCUUUGCUGUGCUUCUAUU
This 422-nucleotide long non-coding RNA is filed under the name Homo sapiens (human). Its description in RNAcentral is "non-protein coding lnc-AFG3L2-6:3". Lineage: Eukaryota; Metazoa; Chordata; Mammalia; Primates; Hominidae. The record is from RNAcentral.